UGCAAAAGUUCAAUGUUUCUGAUGAAAUAAUCGCAAAACGGACAAGGUGGCAUCGAAUCACAAUGAUACGCGAACUUCCAGUGAACAAGCAGUCUCUGGGGUCAAGGUUGACCCAACGACCAUCAACAAAUAUGCACGAGGCCAAAGAAUGUCAUUUGUUCAGCUUCAGCAGCAGACAAGGGAAAGAUGCCAGGAGAUUUGGGACCGGCAAGUUCAGUCUCUCACAGCCAUUGAGGAAGGUGCCAAUGACUCUGAGUCAAAUAGUGAAUUGGACUCUUUCGCUGGCGAUCUGGAGAACUUGCUUGAUGCAGAGGAAUGCGAAGGUGAAGCAUUGAUUAAGGAACCCUAGCAUGACCGAUUUGAGGGUGUGAAGAGAAUUAAGAUAAGGAGAUAUCUAUCCCAAACUUAGGCUCAGGAGAAGGAUUGAGGACAAGGCUGCUGAAGCAGCUGAGCUAUGCAAGAUGCUAAUGGAUGAUGAAAAGAUGGAGUUAACAAAGAAGAAGAAGGCUGGACCUGCGCGGAAGGAAGGUGGGCUUGUGGGCCCACAUUUAGGCUUUGGUUCCGAGAACGUAGAGCAUAACAAGAGGCCUUCAAGCAAAUUACCAGUUCAACUCAGCCUGACAAGGCUUACAAUUCUAUGGAGAACAUUUCGCGGGCAAAAUGGAUGAGGAAGCUCCGGUUGUCAAGAAUUAUUUUCUGCCCAAAGUGAAAGCAAAAUAUUUAAGAAGAAGAUAUCAGGUAGAGAGAAUUUUGUCUGCAGAGCCUGCGGUCAGGUACGUAGCCCUGCAAAUAUUCUUGGCCCAAGGCAAUGUAACAACAGCUUAGAGUAACUUACUCUGAUAACUCUGGUUAUUCGAAAAAGCUGGGCAAACUUGUUUAUGCCUGACUCAAAAACAAAGAUAUUGCAUCAGAAAACUGAACUUUUUGCCCAAUAUAU
This is a non-coding RNA of Punica granatum (pomegranate), 937 nucleotides long. Lineage: Eukaryota; Viridiplantae; Streptophyta; Magnoliopsida; Myrtales; Lythraceae. The record is from RefSeq and is a predicted model, not a curated record.